AAAUCAAGAUGCAGAAUAGCACAGGCAUUCCAGAAGUCUUCCUUGUGCCUUCUGCCAAUCAAUAGGCCCUUUGGAAAGACUCUGUAUGUUGCAUUUUAUGGCCAUGGUGCAGAGUAGAGGAUGAGAGAUUAUUCAGAGUCCACCUUCAGCUUAACAUCCAAGAAGGCCCAGAGGGACUUCCUUUAACCUGUGUCACCUCAGUGUGAAAGAGUCUCAGGAAAAAAUAGCCUGGAAUGUCUGGAAGCUGCUCGCCACCACCUUCAGCACCUCUUGUAAUUGUAGAGGCCAAAGUUUCUGUGGUGGAGAGUCCAGGUGAAGUGAGGAUGACUUGUCUCUGCUCUCCGGUCUGAGGAAUCAGAGAGAACACUCAGACAGCUGGAGGUGACUCACGCAGCGGGGGAAGAAGCUGCUGGAAAUGCUU
Molecule: long non-coding RNA, 421 nt
Organism: Chinchilla lanigera (long-tailed chinchilla)
Lineage: Eukaryota; Metazoa; Chordata; Mammalia; Rodentia; Chinchillidae
Exons: 3
Source: RefSeq, a predicted model, not a curated record